Molecule: long non-coding RNA, 219 nt
Filed under: Elaeis guineensis (African oil palm)
Lineage: Eukaryota; Viridiplantae; Streptophyta; Magnoliopsida; Arecales; Arecaceae
Description: long non-coding RNA (EGUI_LNC051275)
Source: RNAcentral
UCAUAUAUUAGAAUCAAUUGGUUCGAGUCCAUUAUAAAACCUUAUGGAAACACCUUUCCAUCAUUCACACUGUCAUAGCCAUGAGCUUUAGGACUCAAUCUCAUGGUCUACAUAGGACUACUUUUCUAUCGAGGUUGAUAGAUCCCAUCUUAGUGCAAUCCAAUUUCUACAAUGAAUAUACUGUAGUCAACAUACACCUUAAGGCUCCAUAUGGCUAGA